AUGGGGAGCACGGCGGGCGAGGUCACCCGCGCCGACUUCCCCGAGGGCUUCGUCUUCGGCGUCGCCACCUCCGCCUACCAGAUUGAGGGGGCAAGAAAUGAAGGUGGCAAAGGUGAUAGCAUAUGGGAUGUAUUUACAGAUAACAAAGAACGUGUCCUAGACGGAUCCUCUGGAGAAGUUGCAGUUGAUCAUUACCAUCGAUACAAGGAAGACAUUGAGCUCAUGGCCAAGUUGGGUUUUGGUGCUUAUAGAUUUUCCAUAUCUUGGUCACGGAUAUUUCCUGAUGGCUUAGGGACAGCGAUCAAUGAGCAAGGAGUUGCUUUCUAUAACAACCUUAUAGAUUUCAUGAUUGAGAAAGGUAUUCAGCCUUAUGCAACUCUGUAUCACUGGGAUCUUCCGCAUAAUCUUCAGAAGACUAUGGGGGGUUGGCUUUCGGACAAGAUUGUGGAGUACUUCGCAUUAUAUGCAGAAGCUUGCUUUGCAAAUUUUGGAGAUAGAGUUAAGCAUUGGAUAACAAUCAAUGAACCUAUUCAAACAUGCAUUAAUGCUUAUGCGGUUGGAAUAUUUGCUCCUGGAUUAUGUAAAGGUGUAGCUGCUGAACCUUUCUUGGCUGGCCAUCACCAGAUCUUAGCUCAUGCUGCUGCUGUUGAUGUCUACAGAAGAAAAUUCAAGGCUAAGCAAGGUGGUCAAGUAGGGUUUGUUAUUGAUUGUGAAUGGGCGGAGCCAAUGUCGGACAAAAUGGAAGACCAGGCUGCUGCAGCACGGCGCAUUGACUUUCAACUUGGAUGGUUCCUGGACCCAAUAUACUUUGGUGAUUACCCAGAAAGCAUGCGCCAGAGAGUGGGUGAAUAUCUUCCAAAAUUCUCGGAGAAAGACCGUGAAUUGAUGAGGAACAAAAUUGAUUUUAUUGGAUUAAAUCACUAUACAACAAGAAUCAUUGGCAAUCGGCCUAACCCACAACCACAAGAGAUCCAUUUUUAUCAGGUUGAACAAAUAGAGAGAUCAGAAAAAUGGAGUAGCGGUGAAGCAAUUGGUGAAAGAGCUGCGUCUGAGUGGCUUUUAAUAGUUCCUUGGGGUAUUCGGAAAACAAUCAAUUAUAUAGUAAAAAAAUAUGAAAAUCCAAUAAUAUAUAUAACAGAGAAUGGCAUGGAUGACGAAGACGAUCCAUCAGCACCAGUUGAUCAGUUCUUAAAUGACACAAAGAGGGUCAAUUUCUUCAAAGGAUAUGUUGGUGCAGUCGCACAAGCAAUAAAGGAUGGUGCCGAUGUUCGUGGAUACUUUGCAUGGUCAUUCGUGGAUAACUUUGAGUGGGCGAUGGGAUUCACCAAGAGGUUUGGGAUUGUCUAUGUUGAUUACAAGAACGGGCUCUCCCGGCGCCCUAAAGCAUCAGCCAUGUGGUUCUCGCGCUUCUUGAACGGCGAGGCCGCUGACAGCAAACCUGACACAAACUAA
RNAcentral lists this ribosomal RNA (1452 nucleotides) under Triticum aestivum (bread wheat). RNAcentral describes it as "partial small subunit ribosomal RNA". Lineage: Eukaryota; Viridiplantae; Streptophyta; Magnoliopsida; Poales; Poaceae. The record is from RNAcentral.